GUCAAUUUGGAGCAAUGCAGGUAAUAUUUUGAGCUAUAUGCUGGUUAGAUUUGGAGCAUUACAGGUAAGAUUUGGAGCUACGCAGUUAAGCUUCGGAAGUUUAAGGCAGAUUGGGUUUAGAAAUAGGCAGGUAAAAUUUGGAAUCAGGUAAUUUGGGAGGUCGUGAAAUGGAGGGAUACAUGUGUGCUGUGUGUGGAUCAGCCUAAGAUUGAGGGAGGAAGGUGAUAACACUGAUGCAUGAAGUAAUGAUUAGCCACACAGGUGUAACCAGACACCCAUACAGGUGAACUACAGAUAACGUAACCAGUGCAAGGCUAUCUCCAGAUGUGACUGAUAAAGAGUAAGACGGAAUAUAAGUUGAGUGCAGUAAUGAAUUUGUAUAGAAUCAGAAUGGUCUAACCCUUCACAUUCCAAUCCCACACAAACUCAGGCUGUCAGGCUUAUAUUGAAACCUAAUCAUUAAAAGGUUAUUAGCUAGAUUUAUUGAGAGAAAAAAUAAAUGCAACAAAAUUAUGUAGUUUCUUAGAACUAUAUAGUACUGA
Molecule: long non-coding RNA, 542 nt
Organism: Mizuhopecten yessoensis (Yesso scallop)
Lineage: Eukaryota; Metazoa; Mollusca; Bivalvia; Pectinida; Pectinidae
Exons: 3
Source: RefSeq, a predicted model, not a curated record